UAGCAUGCAGCUUGGCAGCCCUUG
RNAcentral lists this unclassified non-coding RNA (24 nucleotides) under Mus musculus (house mouse). Its description in RNAcentral is "oocyte_clustered_small_RNA12977". Lineage: Eukaryota; Metazoa; Chordata; Mammalia; Rodentia; Muridae. The record is from RNAcentral.